Pantherophis guttatus is the source of this 530-nucleotide non-coding RNA. The record is from RefSeq and is a predicted model, not a curated record. NCBI's taxonomy places the organism in Eukaryota, Metazoa, Chordata, Lepidosauria, Squamata, Colubridae.
CUCUGUUGUCAUUUGCCAGUUGCUUCCUUCUCUCGGGCCCUGACGGUCCUCCUAGCAAACCAUCAGAUCUGCUCCCCAUGGAAUCACUCUGUAGGCAUGAUGAGUAAAAUUCAAGCGUAUAAUCAAAUGUCACCAGUAAAAGGACUUGCGGCUUUGCAAGAAUAAUGUUGAGAUCUGCUCGUGGUUGGAAAAAAAGGGAAACAUUAUGAAUUCAGGAAUUGGUUCCACAUGUGCAUCUGUUCGGAUAUUCUUCGCCUUCCCUUUCUCAUCUUUCUUAAUUUCACCAAAAUCAUUUGGGCCAGGUGGAGAAGUCCUUCCUCUGUUGCUGUUUUUUUAAAAAAAUUUGGGAAUGACAACUCAUUGUCCUGCUGCAAGUCACUCACUGGGUCUAUCUGCCUUGUGUCCACCCCAUGUUUACCAUACCUCAUCAUGGCCAAACGUCAGAAGCCUGUUGUGACUAUAGUUGAUGAAAAGAGGUGGAAAGAUAAGACUGAUGAAAUGGCCUGAAUAAAUGGCAAAAAUGAAAACAA